Molecule: ribosomal RNA, 808 nt
Filed under: uncultured bacterium
Lineage: Bacteria
Description: bacterial SSU rRNA
Rfam family: Bacterial small subunit ribosomal RNA
Source: RNAcentral
AGAGUUUGUUCCUGGCUCAGGACGAACGCUGGCGGCGUGCUUAACACAUGCAAGUCGAACGGGAAUGCCGCGCUGAUGCGAUUUCGGUCAAAUCAUGUGGCAUUCGAGUGGCGGACGGGUGAGUAACGCGUGGGUAACCUGCCUUACACAGGGGGAUAACACCUGGAAACAGGUGCUAAUACCGCAUAAGCGCACAGGGCCGCAUGGCCCGGUGUGAAAAACUCCGGUGGUGUAAGAUGGACCCGCGUCUGAUUAGCUUGUUGGCGGGGUAGGGGCCCACCAAGGCAACGAUCAGUAGCCGGCCUGAGAGGGUGGACGGCCACAUUGGGACUGAGACACGGCCCACACUCCUACUGGAGGUAGCAGUGGGGGAUAUUGUAUAUUGGGGGUAAACCCCGAUCCAGCGACGCCGCGUGUAGUGAAGAAGUAUUUCGGUAUGUAAAGCUCUUUCAGCAGGGGAAGAAAGAAAUGACGGUACCUGACCAAGAAGCCCCGGCUAACUACGUGCCAGCAGCCGUGGUAAUACGUAGGGGGCAAGCGUUAUCCGGAAUUACUGGGUGUAAAGGGAGCGUAGACGGUGAUGCAAGUCUGGAGUGAAAGGCGGGGGCCCAACCCCCGGACUGCUCUGGAAACUGUGUAACUUGAGUGCAGGAGAGGUAAGCGGAAUUCCUAGUGUAGCGGUGAAAUGCGUAGAUAUUAGGAGGAACACCAGUGGCGAAGGCGGCUUACUGGACUGUAACUGACGUUGAGGCUCGAAAGCGUGGGGAGCAAACAGAGAUUAGAUACCCUGGUAGUCCACGCCGUAAAC